This is a non-coding RNA of Electrophorus electricus (electric eel), 889 nucleotides long. The record is from the annotation of a RefSeq genome assembly. NCBI's taxonomy places the organism in Eukaryota, Metazoa, Chordata, Actinopteri, Gymnotiformes, Gymnotidae.
UUCCUAAUACCGUCUUCAGGACCCUUUUAUACCCAUAGGAAGGGAAGACGUGGCACGUGGGUGACGUCAUCGCCAGGCUUUCUAAAGGUCAGAGUGAGCGGCUUCUUUACAGCAGGAGGUUUUUGUACGACCACUGAGCGAGUUUGUAUCACUGUGGAGCACUUUUGGUGGCGGCACAAAACUCUCAGUUGGACGUGAGUAUCUUUCACUGCUUAUCCAAAAGUUCGUAUUUUCUGAAAUAAUAAUCGAUAUGUUUGAUCUUUGAUAAUGAUGGAGACUUAAAACAUGUUGCGGUUGCAUUUCUUGUGGUUUACGGUGCAACAGGUGUUACGAGGUAAUUUAUCUAAUAAUAUAAUGUAUGUUUGUAUUUUGUUUAAUUAUUUUAAAAAUCUGAAAAGCGUUUGGCUAAGUUUAUGAGUUUUCUAAAGCAUUAAUGUCGAAGCUCCAUAUUACGCGGUAUAUAGUGGAGAGAGCGGCGUGUUUAGAUCAGGAGGUUUUUGUUCGGACAGUAAACGAGAUUGUAGCUCUGUGGUGGACUUUCGGUGGCGGAACAAAACUAUCAGUUGGACGUGACGCCCCGCCCACCCUCACGGUCCUGCCCCCCUCCAGUGUACAGCUGCAGCAGGAGAAGGUCACACUCGUGUGUCUGGCCAACAAGGGCUUCCCCUCAGACUGGAAGCUGAGCUGGAAGGUGGCUGGUAGCAGCUGGAGCUCGGGGGUGAGCCAGAGCUCCGGGCUUCUGCAGAAGGAUGGCCUCUACAGCUGGAGCAGCACCCUGACCCUCCAGAAGGAGGAGUGGCUGAAGAAGACAGUGACCUGUGAGGCCACCAAGGACUCCCAGUCUCCUGUCACACAGACACUGAGUAGAGAGCAGUGUGCUGAGGCGUGA